Molecule: long non-coding RNA, 618 nt
Organism: Amphiprion ocellaris (clown anemonefish)
Lineage: Eukaryota; Metazoa; Chordata; Actinopteri; Pomacentridae
Exons: 3
Source: RefSeq, a predicted model, not a curated record
UUCACUGGGUCACAUGUAAGUUCUGCACUGAUAGAUCAAAGUCUUCACAGAGAAAUGUGUGUACUCAUUAAUGCCCCAAAUGAUUCAACUGCUGAUAAUCAGGGAGAUGGUUUUAAAGUUCAUCCUCAGGAGCGAGUGGAAUAAUCAGGACACAUGUAAUGAAUGCCAGGUGUGCCAGCAUACUGCUUACUUCCACUAAUUCUGCAGAGGAUGUCACGCUUGGAAGAAUGGAUAAACAUGACAUUUGGUGCUGAAAAUAUCUCACAAACAACUACAGUUCCCACAAAAACUUUUCAACAGCUUUUCAAGUUUCACAGAUGAAGGACUACUGCAGAGGAUGUUACUGAAAUGCUUCACACGAUGUUCUUCUACAAAGACAAACUCCUGGUGGUUGCAGCAUGGAGACUGGUUUUCUUAAGAGCCACGUCUGUCCUCUGUAAUUACCCUGCAGCGGCAUGCGAAGCCAUUGUUGUGUUCAGCAGACGCUGGCAGGUGUGCUCUUCUCACGAGAGGACUUGGACCAACGUGGACGCUCGAGCUGCUCCACCUGGCCUUCAUCACCAGCCUUAAGAAACAACAGCUGCUCUCCUCUUUGCUGUGGAGGAAGGAGAUCUGUAC